RNAcentral lists this unclassified non-coding RNA (240 nucleotides) under soil metagenome. RNAcentral's name for it is "partial contains 5.8S ribosomal RNA, internal transcribed spacer 2, and large subunit ribosomal RNA". The record is from RNAcentral.
AACAAGGCGUACCUGCGGACCUGCGGAGGGAUCAUUACUGAGUCACGUGCUCAAACAACCCUUCUGUGGACCUGAAAUAAAACCGUUGCCUCGGCGGGCGGUCCCCCCCAAACCAACCCCACGUGGUGGGUUAGGGGGGACCAGACAGUCCGGUACGCUUAAGGCGUCCGGCGCCAGCCGCUGGCCCCAAACAAUUAAACUCUAGUAAUCUUUACCUUCUGAGUUUCAAUAUUUAAAAAU